GGCCGGAACUGGCCGGAACGACCAGACCUGGACUCGUGGUCGGCCGGCCGUGAGUUCGAUUCUCAUCCGGCCCA
RNAcentral lists this transfer RNA (74 nucleotides) under Acidimicrobiales bacterium. Its description in RNAcentral is "tRNA-OTHER". The record is from RNAcentral. Lineage: Bacteria; Bacillati; Actinomycetota; Acidimicrobiia; Acidimicrobiales.